RNA transcript from Panicum virgatum (switchgrass), 825 nucleotides. It is a transcript of the gene named 40S ribosomal protein S8-like, with no coding region annotated. The record is from RefSeq and is a predicted model, not a curated record. The transcript is spliced from 4 exons. NCBI's taxonomy places the organism in Eukaryota, Viridiplantae, Streptophyta, Magnoliopsida, Poales, Poaceae.
CCCUAAUCCGCGGCCGAGACGCGCCCUAUUUAACCCCCACGCACUAGGGUUUCGCUCUCUUUCCCUUUGACACCGAACCAGAGCGGCGUCGCGGGCGGACUAGGAGGAGGCAGAGCAGCAGCAGCCGGGCCAACCCACCGCCGCCACCAUGGGUAUCUCGCGUGACUCGAUGCACAAGCGCCGGGCCACCGGUGGGAAGCAGAAGGCCUGGAGGAAGAAGCGAAAUACGAGCUCGGCCGCCAGCCAGCCAACACCAAGUUGUCAAGCAACAAGACGGUGAGGAGGGAAACAUACCUCAGCAGCAUCCUUCUUGGCAGCAGGUGCCUUCUUCCUACCGAUAUCCACUCCAUAGUGUGUUAGGUACCAUUGCUUGAAUGGGGCAGCAUCAACUUGCACAAUGGCGCUCUUCACAAGGGUAUGAGUCCUCACGAGCUCAUUGUUUGACGCGUUGUAGACCACAUCAAGGAUACGGGUCUUGCAGGUAACAGCCUCACUUCCCCAUGAGUAGUUACCAGUAUCCAGGCGGAGAGCCCUCCACUUCACAUUACCUCCUCUGACACGGACCCUCCUCACCGUCUUGUUGCUUGACAACUUGGGACAAGGUGAGGCUGCAGCUGAGGAAGCAAAGAAGAGCAACCACGUCCAGAGGAAGCUUGAGAAGCGUCAGCAGGGACGCACACUUGACCCCCACAUUGAAGAGCAAUUUGGCAGUGGAAGUCUGUUGGCGUGCAUUUCUUCCCGCCCUGGGCAGUGUGGCAGAGUUGACGGGUAUGGAAUAUCAGCAUUCUGUUUUUCUUUCUUAAAACUUUUAUCUGUCUGUUUAGG